Molecule: ribosomal RNA, 253 nt
Filed under: uncultured bacterium
Lineage: Bacteria
Description: partial 16S ribosomal RNA
Rfam family: Bacterial small subunit ribosomal RNA
Source: RNAcentral
UACGUAGGGAGCAAGCGUUGUCCGGAAUCAUUGGGCGUAAAGCGCGCGUAGGUGGCUUCGUAAGUCCGUUGUGAAAGUCAAAGGCUCAACCUUUGAAAGCCGAUGGAUACUGUGAAGCUAGAGUACGGAAGAGGCGAGUGGAAUUCCUGGUGUAGCGGUGGAAUGCGCAGAUAUCAGGAGGAACACCAAUAGCGAAGGCAGCUCGCUGGGACGUUACUGACACUGAGGCGCGAAAGCGGGGGGAGCAAACAGG